CUUUGGUAAGAGGAAGAAAGGAGAACAAAGAAGAAGAAGAGAGGAGAAGAAAAGAAGGGAAGAGAGAGAAAUUGCGGUAGAGAUUGCUAGAGGAUUCAGCAAAGAGGAAACCCAAAUAGCCGUGAAAGAGUUCCUCGGCACCAGGAGAGAUUGUGGGGCCUGAUAUUCACUAUGAGGAGAGCAGUCAGCUGCAUGCUGAUAAUUCAGAGCAUGAUGACGUGGUUAUAGAUCAGUUGGCUUCGUAUUCUGGAUUUUGAUGAUUUCCGCCAUGGGCAUGACUGCGAAUGUGAUGAUUGUGCAUAUGGUGGACAGCAAUAUUGAGAACAGAUGUAUUGGAUUAUGCUUUUGUGUAUAUAUGUGGAUAGUAUUGAAAAAAUCAGUUUUUGUUCAUACAUGUUGGAGGGAAAAACAACUGUUGGAAGAAAUUUUGUGUAAAUAUUUGUUUUAGAAUGGGAUUAAUGUAUAUAUAUAUAUAUGGAUUACUUUAUAUGUUGUUGUGAUUCAUUGUAUAUAUGGUAUCAAGUAUCACAUAGAAGCACUGGGUGGAUAUAUCUAUAUUUGAUUUUA
Macadamia integrifolia is the source of this 567-nucleotide long non-coding RNA. RefSeq lists it as uncharacterized. The record is from RefSeq and is a predicted model, not a curated record. The transcript has 3 exons. Lineage: Eukaryota; Viridiplantae; Streptophyta; Magnoliopsida; Proteales; Proteaceae.